UCCAGGGUAGCCUAGUGGACAUGGCAUCUGCCCGGUAAGCGGAUUGUUGUGGGUUCGAUUCCCGCCCCUGGAC
This is a non-coding RNA of Cordylochernes scorpioides, 73 nucleotides long. The record is from the annotation of a GenBank genome assembly. Lineage: Eukaryota; Metazoa; Arthropoda; Arachnida; Pseudoscorpiones; Chernetidae.